UACGGAAGGGGCUAGCGUUGUUCGGAAUUACUGGGCGUAAAGAGCGCGUAGGCGGCUUACCAAGUUGGGGGUGAAAUCCCGGAGCUCAACUCCGGAACUGCCUUCAAAACUGGUAGGCUCGAGUCCGGAAGAGGGGCGUGGAAUUCCCAGUGUAGAGGUGAAAUUCGUAGAUAUUGGGAAGAACACCGGUGGCGAAGGCGGCGCCCUGGUCCGGUACUGACGCUCAGGUGCGAAAGCGUGGGGAUCAAACAGG
This 253-nucleotide ribosomal RNA is filed under the name uncultured bacterium. Its description in RNAcentral is "partial 16S ribosomal RNA". It matches the Rfam family "Bacterial small subunit ribosomal RNA", at positions 524 to 776 of the family's 1533-position model. The record is from RNAcentral.